GUGGGGAAUAUUGGGCAAUGGGCGAAAGCCUGAUCCAGCCAUGCCGCGUGUGUGAAGAAGGUCUUCGGAUUGUAAAGCACUUUAAGUUGGGAGGAAGGGCAGUAAGUUAAUACCUUGCUGUUUUGACGUUACCGACAGAAUAAGCACCGGCUAACUUCGUGCCAGCAGCCGCGGUAAUACGAAGGGUGCAAGCGUUAAUCGGAAUUACUGGGCGUAAAGCGCGCGUAGGUGGUUUUGUAAGUUGGAGGUGAAAUCCCCGGGCUCAACCUGGGAACUGCCUCCAAAACUGCAUGACUAGAGUACGGUAGAGGGUAGUGGAAUUUCCUGUGUAGCGGUGAAAUGCGUAGAUAUAGGAAGGAACACCAGUGGCGAAGGCGACUACCUGGACUGAUACUGACACUGAGGUGCGAAAGCGUGGGGAGCAAACAGGAUUAGAAACCCGGGUAGUCC
Molecule: ribosomal RNA, 450 nt
Filed under: uncultured bacterium
Lineage: Bacteria
Description: bacterial SSU rRNA
Rfam family: Bacterial small subunit ribosomal RNA
Source: RNAcentral